AAACCCUGAUCCAGCCAUGCCGCGUGAGUGAAGAAGGCCUUCGGGUUGUAAAGCUCUUUCAGCCGGAACGAAACGGUCACGGCUAAUACCUGUGAUCACUGACGGUACCGGAAGAAGAAGCACCGGCUAACUACGUGCCAGCAGCCGCGGUAAUACGUAGGGUGCGAGCGUUAAUCGGAAUUACUGGGCGUAAAGCGUGCGCAGGCGGUUUUGUAAGUCAGAUGUGAAAUCCCCGGGCUUAACCUGGGAACUGCGUUUGAAACUACAAGGCUAGAGUGUAGCAGAGGGGGUGGAAUUCCACGUGUAGCAGUGAAAUGCGUAGAGAUGUGGAGGAACACCGAUGGCGAAGGCAGCCCCCUGGGUUAACACUGACGCUCAGGCACGAAAGCGUGGGGAGCAAACAGGAUUAGAUACCCUGGUAGUCCACGCCCUAAACUAUGUCAACUAGUUGUCGGGCCUUAACGGGCUUGGUAACGCAGCUAACGCGUGAAGUUGACCGCCUGGGGAGUACGGUCGCAAGAUUA
RNAcentral lists this ribosomal RNA (524 nucleotides) under uncultured Pseudomonadota bacterium. Its description in RNAcentral is "bacterial SSU rRNA". It matches the Rfam family "Bacterial small subunit ribosomal RNA", at positions 378 to 896 of the family's 1533-position model. The record is from RNAcentral. Lineage: Bacteria; Pseudomonadati; Pseudomonadota.